AUUGAACGCUGGCGGAAUGCUUUACACAUGCAAGUCGAACGGCAGCACGGACUUCGGUCUGGUGGCGAGUGGCGAACGGGUGAGUAAUGUAUCGGAACGUGCCCAGUCGUGGGGGAUAACGUAGUGAAACUUACGCUAAUACCGCAUACGAUCUAUGGAUGAAAGCGGGGGAUCGCAAGACCUAGCGCGACUGGAGCCGCCGAGAUCAGAUUAGGUAGUUGGUGGGGUAAAGGCCCACCAAGCCAACGAUCUGUAGCUGGUCUGAGAGGACGACCAGCCACACUGGAACUGAGACACGGUCCAGACUCCUACGGGAGGCAGCAGUGGGGAAUUUUGGACAAUGGGCGAAAGCCUGAUCCAGCCAUUCCGCGUGCAGGAUGAAGGCCCUCGGGUUGUAAACUGCUUUUGUACAGAACGAAAAGGUUUCUACUAAUACUAGGAGCUCAUGACGGUACUGUAAGAAUAAGCACCGGCUAACUACGUGCCAGCAGCCGCGGUAA
RNAcentral lists this ribosomal RNA (500 nucleotides) under uncultured bacterium. RNAcentral's name for it is "partial 16S ribosomal RNA". It matches the Rfam family "Bacterial small subunit ribosomal RNA", at positions 30 to 523 of the family's 1533-position model. The record is from RNAcentral.